This is a long non-coding RNA of Cavia porcellus (domestic guinea pig), 3034 nucleotides long. RefSeq lists it as uncharacterized. The record is from RefSeq and is a predicted model, not a curated record. Lineage: Eukaryota; Metazoa; Chordata; Mammalia; Rodentia; Caviidae. The transcript is spliced from 2 exons.
GAAGCCUGCGUGGGAAAGAGAAGACGCAAGUCACCAUCUGUGCGCUUCACAGCCGCUCCAGCCUUCCACACACAGCGCCAGUGGCGAAUUGUCACUUUCUCCAAACCUUACCCCUUCCAAGGCUGAGGCAAGAGGAGAAGGAGUUCAGGAAAAGUGCGUGCUCUCGCCCAAAUAUUUUAUGUCCACAACCACCACGGGGCGUCGGUUACAUGGAGCUGUGAAUGUUCGGCAGAAUGAUCCGUCAACUUCAGCAGUGUAUCAGAUCCCACCCGCCAGAGCCUGGAGACCUACAGUAUCCAUCGGAAGCUUGGACGUCCUUUCUGUCUCCCCCUCCCUAUCAACUUUGAGAAGUUCAGAUGGCCUGAUCUCGACGUUAGGGGCAAAGACUUUAAGUAACUAAGGGCAGACUUCUUUGUUGGUCUCCAGAUUUUCGCGGGCCCGCAGGAAGGAGCCUGGCUCACAGCAGGUCUUCAAUAAUGCUCCUAGGAAAAACAUUCAAACCGUCCCUCCUUUUGCUACAAAACCAACUGCGGAGAGGACAAAUAGAAAUGCAGAUGUUCAACCCUCAUCUCAGACUGAAUAAGAAUUAGAUGGGAGAUGAGGGAAAGGAUGGGCUGGAAGGAUCUGUAAAGAUGACCUAGAGACUUCUGGACCAACUGAGCUCCAAAAUUCAACCCUGCUUAACAUAAAAAAAGACACUAGGCUCAGAAAUAGCCAUUGUAGCCAGGCAUAGUGGCCCUCGUGCCUUUAAUCGCAGCACUCCAGAGGCUGAGACAGGAAGAUUCUUUCAAGUUCGAGACCAGUCUGGGCUACAAAGUGAGCUCAAGGCCAGCCAGAACUGCAGUGAAAUCCUGUCUCAAAAAGACAGCCCCCACCCCACAACCCAAAGAAAGACGUGUAUAUUGUGGAUGAAAGAAUAAGGGUAAUCCCAGCCAUCUAGGAGGGAAGCAAAAGGAUCACAAGUUUGAGCCUUAUCUGCAAUUCGGCGACUUAGCGACACCUUAUCUCAAAAAAAAAAAAAAAAAAAAAAACCUGAAAAAGGAGCUGAUGAAGUAGCUCAGCGCAAAGGUCCUAGGUUCAAUCCCCAGUAGCACUGUACUUUGAGAGGCUGUGAAUGUAGCUGUAUGGUACUGGGGAUGGCGCUUGCCCAGAACACUUUAGGCCCUGGGUUCGAUCCCUGACUCUGCAAGAAAAAGAAAACUCCUUUGUUCACACACUAGCAGUCUGACUUUGAACAGGUCACACGUCACCUCCCGUCUUGGCCUUAAUUUCCUGAUUCAAAAGUCGGUAAGAAUAUGCACCUGGCUUCCUUGGCAUGGCGGCUGGGAUCCUAGGAGAGAAGGGAAGCGCGAUCCCCGCCCGAGCCCGGCUCCCUCUGCCCCGCGCGCCCGCGCCCGCGCCCGCACCCACCUCGGUCCGGCAGCGCUCGCAGCGCGUCCCCGGGCGCGCCCAGCUCGGCCACUGUGCACGGGGCCCGCGCCAGCCCCGCGUCGGCCGCGGCCUCCCGCUCGCGCGCGAUCUUCUGCAGCACGCGCGGCACGGGCUGUGGCUGGCGGGGCGGCGGCGCCGCAUCCAAGCCUAGAAACCGGAGAAAGUCGCGUUCUCCCAACGCGAGCGCCUGCCCCAAGGCCAGGGUCAGCAGGACGCCGGGAGCCAGCGCGCGCCGGGGAGCAUGCAUGGCCACGGCGCUGAGCCGGGCGGCGGCCGAGGGAGGAGGUGGCUGCCGAUCCCCCACCCCCUUCCCCACUCCCACCCCCUCCUCCCAGGCCAUUGGGCGGGAAGAAGCAGACACCCCUUCCCGCGUUGGGGCUCGAACCCCGACCCUUCCGCCGACCUGCAUUGCCAGCGCUUUGCUUUGCUUGCUUGCUUGCUUGCUUUUUUUAAACUUUGAGACAGAGUCUUGCUGCCUUCCCCAGGCAGGACUCCAAUUUGCAACCCUCCUGCUUCGGCCACCCACAGUGCUGGCAUUACAGGCAUGUGCCCCAUAUCUGCUUUUAUCACUUCACUUGCUGUACGCCCCAGGAAAAAAAUUAGCAGUGUGUGGACAUAAACCUUACAACAACCCGAAGGUUGUCCUUCAGGUUUUGGUUGGUUUGGUUGGUUGGUUUCUGGUCUUUUUGAGACAGUUUCACUAUGCAUUUCAGGCUCGAACUCACUUUGUGGUGCGGGCUGGCCUGGAACUCACAAUAAUCCUUCUGCCUCAGCCUCCCAGAUUCUGGGACGUUAGGCUGGAAUCACCACGCCCCGGCUUCUAGAUCCGCGUUAAGGGGAAGCUGAGCCUGGUGGCACCCGCCUGACAUUCCAGCACUCCUGGAGGCUGAAGAGGAUUGUUAUAAGUUCAAAGCCAGCUUGAGCUACAUAGAGAAUGCAAUGCUAGUGUGGACUACAUAGCAGGACCCUGUCUCAAAGCAAAACAAAACAAGAGGGCCAGGCAUUUAGCUCAGGAGCACGGUGCCUGCCUGGCAAGCACAAGGUUGUGAGUUUGAUUUCCAGUUAGAGAAAGAGAGAGAGAGAGAGAGAGAGAGAGAGAGAGAGAGAGAGGCAGGUGAGAGGAGGGGAAGGAGAGAAGUGGAAGUAGACACAUUUAUUCAUUCAACAGUUAUUAAACCGUCAGUUGUGUCAAAAACCCUGAGAUGAAUGCUAGGAACAUAAGAGUGAGCAAUUUAGCCUUAAAAUUCAUAAUUAGGGGGCCGGAGAUUUAGCUCAGCAGCAUAAGUGCCUGCCUGGCAAGUGUAAGGUCAUGAGAUCGAUCCUCAGUACAAGAAGAAAUUCAUAAUUAGUGAAAUAUAUAGGUGUAUGUGUGUGUGUGUGUGUGUGUGUGUACCGGGGAUAAAACCCAGAGAUGUUCAUAACUGGGCCAUACCUCCAGCCUUUUUUUUACUUUUUAUGUUUCAAGACCAGAGUCUCUAAAUUACCCAGACACAAUCAAUUUGAGAUCCAUCCUCUUGUCUCAGCCUCCCAAGCAACUGGGGUUGAGCUGUGCACCACCACACCCUGUUUGAGCUUCUUGAAUAAAAGUCCUAAAUCAGACUGA